RNAcentral lists this non-coding RNA (80 nucleotides) under Tropilaelaps mercedesae. Its description in RNAcentral is "Eukaryotic large subunit ribosomal RNA". It matches the Rfam family "Eukaryotic large subunit ribosomal RNA", at positions 24 to 103 of the family's 3401-position model. The record is from Rfam by way of RNAcentral. Lineage: Eukaryota; Metazoa; Arthropoda; Arachnida; Mesostigmata; Laelapidae.
CUCGCUGAACUUAGGCAUAUCAAUAAGCGGAGAAAAAGAAAUCGAACGACAUUUCAGUAGUAGCUGCGAGUGAACUGGAA